CUCAGUAACACGUGGAUAACCUGCCCUCGGGUGGGGGAUAACCCUGGGAAAACCGGGAACAAUACCCCAUAGAUCUGGGAUGCUGGAAUGCUUCCAGGUCAAAAGCUCCGGCGCCCGAGGAUGGGUCUGCGGCCUAUCAGGUAGUAGUGAGGGUAACUGCCUCACUAGCCUACGACGGGUACGGGCCUUGGGAGAGGUAGCCCGGAGAUGGACUCUGAGACACGAGUCCAGGCCCUACGGGGCGCAGCAGGCGCGAAAACUUUGCAAUGCGGGAAACCGCGACAAGGGAACUCCAAGUGCCUAUGCACAGCAUAGGCUGUUCGAUUGCCUAAAAAGCAGUCGGAGUAAGGGCUGGGUAAGUCCGGUGCCAGCCGCCGCGGUAAUACCGGCAGCCCGAGUGGUGGUCUUUAUUAUUGGGUCUAAAGCGUCCGUAGCCGGUCCUUCAAAUCCCUGGGUAAAUCGGGCAGCUCAACUGUCCGACUUCCGGGGAGACUGUAGGACUUGGGACCGGGAGAGGUCGGAGGUACUCCUGGGGUAGGGGUGAAAUCCUAUAAUCCCAGGGGGACCCCCGGUGGCGAAGGCGUCCGACUAGAACGGAUCCGACGGUGAGGGACGAAACCCUGGGGAGCGAACCGGAUUAGAUACCCGGGUAGUCCAGGGCGUAAACGCUGCAGGUUUGGUGUUGGAGGUAGUACGUGUGCUUUCAGUGCCGGAGAGAAGGUGUGCUUCCUCCACCUGGGGAGUAUGCUCGCAAGAGUGAAACUAAA
This 767-nucleotide ribosomal RNA is filed under the name uncultured archaeon. RNAcentral's name for it is "bacterial SSU rRNA". It matches the Rfam family "Archaeal small subunit ribosomal RNA", at positions 89 to 859 of the family's 1478-position model. The record is from RNAcentral.